UACGAAGGGGGCUAGCGUUGCUCGGAAUCACUGGGCGUAAAGGGUGCGUAGGCGGGUUUUUAAGUCAGAGGUGAAAUCCUGGAGCUCAACUCCAGAACUGCCUUUGAUACUGAAAGUCUUGAGUAUGGGAGAGGUGAGUGGAACUGCGAGUGUAGAGGUGAAAUUCGUAGAUAUUCGCAAGAACACCAGUGGCGAAGGCGGCUCACUGGCCCAUUACUGACACUGAGGGACGAAAGCUAGGGGAGCGAAAGGG
This 253-nucleotide ribosomal RNA is filed under the name uncultured bacterium. Its description in RNAcentral is "partial 16S ribosomal RNA". It matches the Rfam family "Bacterial small subunit ribosomal RNA", at positions 524 to 776 of the family's 1533-position model. The record is from RNAcentral.